Molecule: ribosomal RNA, 457 nt
Filed under: uncultured organism
Description: partial 16S ribosomal RNA
Rfam family: Bacterial small subunit ribosomal RNA
Source: RNAcentral
ACUCCUACGGGAGGCAACAGUGGGGAAUAUUGCACAAUGGGCGCAAGCCUGAUGCAGCGACGCCGCGUGGGGGAUGAAGGCCUUCGGGUUGUAAACUCCUUUCGCUAGGGACGAAGCUUUUUUGUGACGGUACCUAGAUAAGAAGCACCGGCUAACUACGUGCCAGCAGCCGCGGUAAUACGUAGGGUGCGAGCGUUGUCCGGAAUUACUGGGCGUAAAGGGCUCGUAGGUGGUUUGUCGCGUCGUCUGUGAAAUUCUGGGGCUUAACUCCGGGCGUGCAGGCGAUACGGGCAUAACUUGAGUGCUGUAGGGGUAACUGGAAUUCCUGGUGUAGCGGUGAAAUGCGCAGAUAUCAGGAGGAACACCGAUGGCGAAGGCAGGUUACUGGGCAGUUACUGACGCUGAGGAGCGAAAGCAUGGGUAGCGAACAGGAUUAGAAACCCGUGUAGUCCCAUGA